This 209-nucleotide long non-coding RNA is filed under the name Ananas comosus (pineapple). RNAcentral describes it as "long non-coding RNA (ACOM_LNC005442)". The record is from RNAcentral. Lineage: Eukaryota; Viridiplantae; Streptophyta; Magnoliopsida; Poales; Bromeliaceae.
UCAUACUACUUAUGCCUCCAUAACCUAGUGGUGUAUUUCGCUGAUGUCGGCGACUUACCCACUAAAAACUAUUGAUUAAUAAUUCUCACACUGUAACGACCCAACCCACUAGCAAUAAUAACUCGUUGGGCCCAGCCAACAGCCCAAAAUGCUUAAGCCCAGUUAUUAUUACUAGUGUCUAAGUCUAUUAUAUACCUAAUCACAUCCCU